CUUUCUUCCAGCCUAAAUCUGUGACCUCGUGUCUUAUGUGUAGCCCUGUUUAUGAAUAGAUUUCCAGAUAAUAGUUUGUACUGGCCCCGAAUAUAUUUGUAUAAUGUUAUCAUAUCCCCUCUCAGGCGCCCUUUUUCCAAACUAAAGAGAUUUACAUUUUUUAACCUUUCUUCGUAACUAAAAUGCUCCAUGCCUUUCAUCAAUUUUGAAGCUCG
Molecule: non-coding RNA, 215 nt
Organism: Pelobates cultripes (western spadefoot toad)
Lineage: Eukaryota; Metazoa; Chordata; Amphibia; Anura; Pelobatidae
Source: the annotation of a GenBank genome assembly